CAGCCUCUGAUGCUCCCUUCCUAUUCCAUGGCUUCAGGUGCCAUCCUCUCCACAGAGACGGUUUCUAUUGUGACGCUCUCCCUGACUUGGAAGAAUGGCACUGGGAACAUUCCCCUUGGUGCUGAUGUCGGGGAGGAAAGCAGUUUCCAGUCGCCUGGGGCCAGGACAUGGCGUUCCCAGCUGUUGUAGAGCAUGAAGCACCAGGAUGCCCAUUCGGGUGCCUGCUGAGAUCAGGCUCUUUGAGAAGGAAUCCUGUGGUCGCCUGAGGAAGUCCAAAAAAAUUUCGAGGACAUCUCAGCCAUCCAUCCCCUGUUCACUGUGGAGGUUGAACACCGGGGCUCCUGGAGGGGGGCCCUGGGUCUCCACAGAAGUGCUGGCAGCCACCAUCCACUUCCUGGCCUUCCGUGCCCGC
This 412-nucleotide long non-coding RNA is filed under the name Homo sapiens (human). Its description in RNAcentral is "non-protein coding lnc-ITGB2-11:4". Lineage: Eukaryota; Metazoa; Chordata; Mammalia; Primates; Hominidae. The record is from RNAcentral.